GGAGAGGUGACCGAGUGGUCGAAGGUGCACGACUGGAAAUCGUGUGUACCGAAAGGUACCGAGGGUUCGAAUCCCUUCCUCUCCG
Molecule: transfer RNA, 85 nt
Filed under: Myxococcales bacterium
Lineage: Bacteria; Pseudomonadati; Myxococcota; Myxococcia; Myxococcales
Also listed under: 2 other names
Description: tRNA-Ser
Rfam family: tRNA
About the family: Transfer RNA (tRNA) molecules are approximately 80 nucleotides in length. Their secondary structure includes four short double-helical elements and three loops (D, anti-codon, and T loops). Further hydrogen bonds mediate the characteristic L-shaped molecular structure. tRNAs have two regions of fundamental functional importance: the anti-codon, which is responsible for specific mRNA codon recognition, and the 3' end, to which the tRNAs corresponding amino acid is attached (by aminoacyl-tRNA synthetases). tRNAs cope with the degeneracy of the genetic code in two manners: having more than one tRNA (with a specific anti-codon) for a particular amino acid; and 'wobble' base-pairing, i.e. permitting non-standard base-pairing at the 3rd anti-codon position.
Source: RNAcentral